GUGCUCACUUGGGCAGCACAUAUACUAAAAUUGGAACGACACAGAGAAGAUUAGCAUGGCCCCUGCACGAGGAUGACACGCAAAUUUAUGGAGAGGUCCAUAUUUUU
Otolemur garnettii (small-eared galago) is the source of this 107-nucleotide small nuclear RNA. The record is from Ensembl. NCBI's taxonomy places the organism in Eukaryota, Metazoa, Chordata, Mammalia, Primates, Galagidae.